CACUGAAGGCUUGGAAGAUGGUAAGUAACUUGCCUGAGGCCACGGAGUUUAUCAGCCAUAGAAGCAGAGGACUCAGACCCAGGCAGUGGUCCCAGAGCGCCCACCACGACCACAGCAAGACCCAGGCCCGGAAAAGUCUUCAUUCCCAAAGAAGCAGAAGCAAUUCUGCAGCGUCAGGGCAGUGACUCAAAGAGCCCUGUUGUACGGUGACAUCGGAAUCACAUGGUCCUGGGGCAACUGGCAAGUUGAGACUGCGAGUAGAAAGCUGUGAAACCCCAAGUUUGUAAACUGAGUGAUUUUUGUUUUUUGGAGGCAGGCUCCCAGGGAAUCUGAGUAGACAUGUCGUCUGCAGGUACGAGAUGAAAAGAAGUAAGAAUGAAGAAUUAAGUAGUUUCAGAAUGACUAGCUCUCUACCCCUAACAGCCCCCUUAGCAAUCGUGCAGUAAGAUAACAUCUGAAGAGAGAGUCAGCCAGUCUGCACACAAUGGAGAAGGAUGCAGAACCCAACCUCCUGCCUCCAUGAUUCGCUGAGAUUCUUCCCCCUUUUUCUGCUUUAAAAACUGUCAUGACUGAACAGAGUCUUCAGAGUUGGUCUCAGGACACAAGUCCACCUUGUCCCCAGAUUGCUGGCUGUCCUGAUUAAAGCAUCUUUCCUUUCUACUGACA
This is a long non-coding RNA of Orcinus orca (killer whale), 666 nucleotides long. RefSeq lists it as uncharacterized. The transcript is spliced from 3 exons. Lineage: Eukaryota; Metazoa; Chordata; Mammalia; Artiodactyla; Delphinidae. The record is from RefSeq and is a predicted model, not a curated record.